AAGCUUCUUUCUGUUCAGUUCUAUUUUAGAUCAUAUACCACUCCAGAGGUCACAAGUUCAAGGGUGAAGUCCUACCCAAUCCUAAUGUUAUUUGUUUACAAUUACUGUACCUAUGUGUGUUUCCUCUAGUGCAGACCCGGCCUCUCUACCAUGUUUGAAUUCUGCCUUUGGAUUGCUCUUAGUAGAAAAGAAGCUGAAGAUCAAGAUGUGGAAAGAAUAGCAAAUCUCUUAGUGAAGAAACAGUCAAGAAAAUUACUGCUCUCUUAACUUAAAGAGAAACAUUAAUUAAAGAUUAUCCAAAGGUGAUACCCAUUAAGAGGAAUCCCAAAAGAAGAGAACACUCACAUGAUGACAGAAGUGCAUGCUGGUUAGUGUUGUUUUACAUAAUGAGACAAAAUUGAAGCAAAUAUGUAAAAGUAGAUGAAUAAAGUAAACCUCAAUGAAAAAGCCUCUGAGAAA
RNAcentral lists this long non-coding RNA (459 nucleotides) under Felis catus (domestic cat). RNAcentral's name for it is "lncRNA (ENSFCAG00000045686.2)". Lineage: Eukaryota; Metazoa; Chordata; Mammalia; Carnivora; Felidae. The record is from RNAcentral.